GUUGCUGGAGGUAUCAGAAGUGCGAAUGCUGACAUAAGUAACGAUAAAGCGGGUGAAAAGCCCGCUCGCCGGAAGACCAAGGGUUCCUGUCCAACGUUAAUCGGGGCAGGGUGAGUCGACCCCUAAGGCGAGGCCGAAAGGCGUAGUCGAUGGGAAACAGGUUAAUAUUCCUGUACUUGGUGUUACUGCGAAGGGGGGACGGAGAAGGCUAUGUUGGCCGGGCGACGGUUGUCCCGGUUUAAGCGUGUAGGCUGGUUUUCCAGGCAAAUCCGGAAAAUCAAGGCUGAGGCGUGAUGACGAGGCACUACGGUGCUGAAGUGACAAAUGCCCUGCUUCCAGGAAAAGCCUCUAAGCAUCAGGUAACAUCAAAUCGUACCCCAAACCGACACAGGUGGUCAGGUAGAGAAUACCAAGGCGCUUGAGAGAACUCGGGUGAAGGAACUAGGCAAAAUGGUGCCGUAACUUCGGGAGAAGGCACGCUGAUAUGUAGGUGAAGCGACUUGCUCGUGGAGCUGAAAUCAGUCGAAGAUACCAGCUGGCUGCAACUGUUUAUUAAAAACACAGCACUGUGCAAACACGAAAGUGGACGUAUACGGUGUGACGCCUGCCCGGUGCCGGAAGGUUAAUUGAUGGGGUUAGCGGUAACGCGAAGCUCUUGAUCGAAGCCCCGGUAAACGGCGGCCGUAACUAUAACGGUCCUAAGGUAGCGAAAUUCCUUGUCGGGUAAGUUCCGACCUGCACGAAUGGCGUAAUGAUGGCCAGGCUGUCUCCACCCGAGACUCAGUGAAAUUGAACUCGCUGUGAAGAUGCAGUGUACCCGCGGCAAGACGGAAAGACCCCGUGAACCUUUACUAUAGCUUGACACUGAACAUUGAGCCUUGAUGUGUAGGAUAGGUGGGAGGCUUUGAAGUGUGGACGCCAGUCUGCAUGGAGCCGACCUUGAAAUACCACCCUUUAAUGUUUGAUGUUCUAACGUUGGCCCGUAAUCCGGGUUGCGGACAGUGUCUGGUGGGUAGUUUGACUGGGGCGGUCUCCUCCUAAAGAGUAACGGAGGAGCACGAAGGUUGGCUAAUCCUGGUCGGACAUCAGGAGGUUAGUGCAAUGGCAUAAGCCAGCUUGACUGCGAGCGUGACGGCGCGAGCAGGUGCGAAAGCAGGUCAUAGUGAUCCGGUGGUUCUGAAUGGAAGGGCCAUCGCUCAACGGAUAAAAGGUACUCCGGGGAUAACAGGCUGAUACCGCCCAAGAGUUCAUAUCGACGGCGGUGUUUGGCACCUCGAUGUCGGCUCAUCACAUCCUGGGGCUGAAGUAGGUCCCAAGGGUAUGGCUGUUCGCCAUUUAAAGUGGUACGCGAGCUGGGUUUAGAACGUCGUGAGACAGUUCGGUCCCUAUCUGCCGUGGGCGCUGGAGAACUGAGGGGGGCUGCUCCUAGUACGAGAGGACCGGAGUGGACGCAUCACUGGUGUUCGGGUUGUCAUGCCAAUGGCACUGCCCGGUAGCUAAAUGCGGAAGAGAUAAGUGCUGAAAGCAUCUAAGCACGAAACUUGCCCCGAGAUGAGUUCUCCCUGACUCCUUGAGAGUCCUGAAGGAACGUUGAAGACGACGACGUUGAUAGGCCGGGUGUGUAAGCGCAGCGAUGCGUUGAGCUAACCGGUACUAAUGAACCGUGAGGCUUAACCUUACAACGCCGAAG
RNAcentral lists this ribosomal RNA (1690 nucleotides) under Escherichia coli. Its description in RNAcentral is "partial 23S ribosomal RNA". It matches the Rfam family "Bacterial large subunit ribosomal RNA", at positions 1269 to 2925 of the family's 2925-position model. Lineage: Bacteria; Pseudomonadati; Pseudomonadota; Gammaproteobacteria; Enterobacterales; Enterobacteriaceae. The record is from RNAcentral.